GAAAGUCUGACGGAGCAACGCCGCGUGAGUGAAGAAGGUUUUCGGAUCGUAAAGCUCUGUCUUUGAGGACGAAUGUGCUUAAUGUGAAUAAUGUUAAGUAAUGACGGUACUCGAGGAGGAAGCCACGGCUAACUACGUGCCAGCAGCCGCGGUAAUACGUAGGUGGCAAGCGUUGUCCGGAAUUAUUGGGCGUAAAGCGCGCGCAGGCGGGAUAUUAAGUCUGUUUUAAAAGUUCGGGGCUCAACCCCGUGAUGGAAUGGAAACUAAUAUUCUUGAGUGCAGGAGAGGAAAGUGGAAUUCCCAGUGUAGCGGUGAAAUGCGUAGAUAUUGGGAGGAACACCAGUGGCGAAGGCGACUUUCUGGACUGUGUCUGACGCUGAGGCGCGAAAGCCAGGGGAGUGAACGGGAUUAGAUACCCCGGUAAUCCUGGCCGUAAACGAUGGGUACUAGGUGUAGGAGGUAUCGACCCCUUCUGUGCCGGAGUUAACGCAAUAAGUACCCCGCCUGGGGAGUA
RNAcentral lists this ribosomal RNA (514 nucleotides) under uncultured bacterium. Its description in RNAcentral is "bacterial SSU rRNA". It matches the Rfam family "Bacterial small subunit ribosomal RNA", at positions 377 to 882 of the family's 1533-position model. The record is from RNAcentral.